RNAcentral lists this transfer RNA (64 nucleotides) under Nemurella pictetii. RNAcentral describes it as "tRNA-Arg". The record is from RNAcentral. Lineage: Eukaryota; Metazoa; Arthropoda; Insecta; Plecoptera; Nemouridae.
GAGUAAGAAGCGAUCUAUUGCAGCCAGUUUCGACCUGUCCUUAGGUAAUUAUUACCCUUACUCU